GUGACCCCAGGAUGGG
This 16-nucleotide ribosomal RNA is filed under the name Gongora sp. SRR-2011. RNAcentral describes it as "partial 26S ribosomal RNA". Lineage: Eukaryota; Viridiplantae; Streptophyta; Magnoliopsida; Asparagales; Orchidaceae. RNAcentral also lists the same sequence under 1 other name. The record is from RNAcentral.